CAUAAAGGCGGAGUCUUGUACCCCUAACUCAUCCAUCGGGUCUAGAAAUAGGUGCAGUUCUCGUGCCCCUGCGACCGUGAGCAAUAGCGGGUUGCAGAUUGCCGUCACUGGCGUUCCACCUACUCGAUGGCCCAGGUGCUAGAGAAGUGUUAAGCUGGUGCAGUAGGGAGUGUAGAUCGUGUACAAGGUGAUUUCAGGGCGCAUGAGUGGGUGCUUCAUCGACAAUUCCUCGCCGGAGGCGGGGGAGCCCCAUGGUGCCGCCCUUCGACGAGAACGAGGGUCCUUGAGUGUGACACCCCUUGGCCGACGGCGAGUCGCCCCGACGUGAGACAACACAGGAUGAACGCGCGCAACUCUCAGGUGAGUUUGUGCGGUGGUUUUUCUCUCUAUUAUUUUCUUUCUGCUCAAGUCUUAGAGAUUACAGUAUUUAAGCCACGCUUGGCCGACCCACACCAAUCUCCAUAGCUAUGAGAAUACGGCCCAACAACGGCCCACACAACCACACACGCCCAAUGCUACGCAACCAGCAACCUCUUGCCUUUCUCUUCUCUGAUGACGCCUUGUCAGUUAGGCACAAGCCUGACAUCUGCCCCCUCUGGAGAAGUUGCUUGUCCCCAAGCAAGAGCGUCGGGAAAGCGUUGCUUGACCACAUAAAAGUCCUCCCAGGUAGUUGAAUCUUCAGGAAUACCACUCCACUGUACCAAAACUUGGGGCACUGCCCGAUGACCCUUCUUCACCAAUAGACGAUCCAACACGGCCACAGGAAGCAAACUUCGAGUAGCAAAAUCCACAGAGCAAGGCAAGUCGGAAAAGACAGGCGUAUGAUUUGGAAUAAACGGUUUCAGCUGGGACACGUGAAAAACUGGAUGAACUUGAGCAGCAGCAGGUAGAUCCAGCUUAUAGGCAACCUCACCCACUUUCUCAAGCACCCGAUAGGGACCAUAGAAUUUCAGAGCUAGCUUGGGGCAAGGACGGUUGACAACAGAACGUUGUGCAUAUGGUUGUAGUUUCAGCAAGACCAUCUCACCCACUUGAAAAUGUCUUUCAGUUCGACCCCGAUCAGCUUGCAUCUUCAUACGAUUUUGUGCAGCAGCCAACUGUUCCUUGAGCAUUUCUGUAAAAACAGCACGAUCAGCCAACACCUGAGCCACAUCAGCAUCAGUUGCAUCUGGAAUCAGAGGAGCAGCUGGAAAUGGAGGGUCAUAACCAUAAAGCACCUUAAACGGGGAACAGCCCAAAGUAGUGUGAUAAGAUGUGUUGUACCAAAAUUCUGCUAAAGCCAGCCAAUUCUUCCACUGAUGAGGAUAAUUGUGAACGGCACAACGCAAGUACAUCUCCAAGCACUGAUUCACGCGCUCGCUCUGACCAUCCGUUUGAGGAUGGUAAGCAGUACUGAGACUGAGUUUAGUGCCCAAAAGCCUGAACAAAUGUGUCCAAAAAGAACUAGUAAACACCCUAUCACGGUCACUGACUAUAGACCGAGGUAGGCCAUGUAAUUUCACCACUUGCUCCAAGAUGACCUGAGCCACUUGCUGAGCAGAAAAAGGAUGCUUCAUCGCCAAAAAGUGGGCAUACUUCGAAAAACGGUCAACGACCACCAGAAUAGUAUCAUGGCCCCCAGAUUUAGGCAACUUCUCAAUAAAAUCCAUUGUUAUAUCCUGCCACAUGCCUUGAGGAACAGGUAAUGGCUGUAACAACCUAGCUGGAUGGAGUCUUUCAGCCUUGGCUUGUUGGCAGACCUGGCAUUGUUGGAUGAAAUCUGCCACAUCCCUCUUAAGACCUUUCCAAGUGAAUAACUUUUUGAUACGGUGAUAAGUAGCCUGAACCCCGGAAUGGCCUCCUAGCACGCUAUCAUGAACAGCAGCGAUCAGUUUAGUGCGAAGUGCUGAAUUGUUGCCAACCCAUAUCAGUUUCUCCUUGCGAAUAAUACCCUUGUGCAGCCAAUAACCAGCCUCAUCUGGACUCUGAACGCACAACUGAGCUAGCAGAAUUUGAGCUUCAGAAUCAGUCUCGUAGGAGUUCAGUAUCUCCUGAAUCCAGAGGGGCUGAACUUCAGUAAUAGCCUGCAAGGACAUCAACUGACCCACCCGAGACAAAGCGUCUGCCACCAAAUUCUCCUUGCCCGGCUUGUAAACCACUUUAAACUGUAAACCCAUGAGUUUUGCCAUUGCCUUGCGCUGUAAUUCAGAAUGCAACACCUGAUCACCCAGGAAACUCAAGGACUUGUGGUCUGUACGAAUCUCAAAUUCGGCCCUCUGUAAAUACGGUCUCCACUUAUCCACUGCCAUGAUCAGUGCUAAAAACUCCUCAUAAAUAGAUAGGUGUCUGUUCUUUAGUCCCAGAGCUUUACUCAAAUAAGCCAAAGGUCUCCCUUGUUGCAUAAGGACUGCCCCCAAUCCAUCAUCACACGCGUCAGUCUCAAUCACAAAUGGAAGAGCAAAAUCAGGGAGUGCGAGGACUGGUGUCACUGACAUAGCGUGCUUCAAAGCUUCAAAAGCUUUCUGUGCAUCCUCAGUCCACCGAUACUCAUUUUUCUGCAGCAGCCUCGUAAGAGGUUUAGCAAUUACUCCAUACCCUUUCACAAAACGCCUGUAAUAGCCAGUUAAGCCAAGAAAUCCUCGGAGAGCUGUCACAUUAGUGGGUUGAGGCCAUCGCAGCAUAGCAUCAGUUUUCAAAGGAUCAGUAGCUACUCCUUCGGAAGAAAUAAUAUGGCCUAAAUAAGUAAGGGCCUGUUUCCCAAAGGCACAUUUCUUCUGUUUGAGAAAGAAUUGAUGUUGUCUGAGAGUAGAAAACACCAAACGCAGAUGUUCCAAGUGCUGCUGCCAAUUGGGACUAUAAACCAAAAUGUCAUCAAGGAAUACCAUAACAAAUUUCCUCAAAAAAGGCGCCAACACCAUAUUCAUGGCACAUUGAAACGUAGCAGGCGCAUUGGUAAGCCCAAAGGGCAUCACCUUGAACUGGUAGUGUCCCUGAUGAGUUUUGAAGGCCGUUUUAUACUCAUCACUUUCCCCCAUUCGUAUCUGAUGAUAGCCAGCAGUUAAGUCUAAACUAGAGAAGUAUUGAGUCCCAGCAAGCUCAUCGAUAAUCUCUUCCACAAGUGGCAUAGGAAAACGAUUCUUGAUCGUCAUAUCAUUCAACUUGCGGUAAUCAAUGCAGAACCACCAUGAUCCGUCCUUCUUUUGGACCAGCAAAACCGGAGAAGCAAACGGACUGACGCUAGGAACAAUUAGUCCUGCAGCAAGCAAUGCUGUCACUUGGUUCUCUAUUUCCGUUUUGUGAUGAGGAGAAUAACGAUAGGGUCGAGCAUUUACUGGUAUAGAACCAGGGAAAAGAGGGAUAUGAUGAUCAAAUGCUCGAGAAGGAGGCAAUGAAGUCGGAACAGCAAACACAUCCUGGAACUCAUCCACCAAGGCUUGUAUCUCAGUAGGAUCAGGAUGCACACCCUUGUUUGCAGCAGGCUCAAGCAAAGCAAAAACCCAUAUAUCAUUCCCUUUGAUACUCUUUUUAAGCUGCAGCACCGAUAUCUCAGUUACCUCCCUGACUUCAGUAAGAUCUCCCAAUAACUGAACUGUUUCGCCCCGAUCCUGAAAACUGAGCACUCUGUUACCCCAAUCACAGUUCAUGGGACUAUGUGAUUCCAGCCAAUCAAAACCGAGUAUGGCAUCAUAAGCUCCAAGUUCCAGUACCCUGAGAUCAGUAUAAAAAGUGUGACCAUUUGCCCACCAAGCCAACUGGUGUACCUGAGCUGCACUACUAAGGAAAUCACCCUUCGCUACCUGAACUCGAGCCAUAGUACAUGGACGAGUAUGCAGACCCAGUCUCUCCACAAAAUGUUUGUUAAUAAAACUGUUGGAGCUACCAGAAUCAACCAAGACUAGCAUAGUCUGAGUACCCACAAGAGCUCGGACCCUCAUACACCCUUCUUGAGUUGUACCUCGGAUGGCAUUCAGAGAAAGAUUAGGACCCUCUUCUACCAUCGGCUCAUCCUGCUCCAACUGAGAGAGCACCUCAUCAGUUAAGGUCAUACCCAACUCCUCUGCAGUCAAAGCAUUAAGCUGCAUUUGCAAUCGUUUGGGACAUUUGUUUUGAUGACCGGGUUCAAAUUUAUCCCCACAAGUGAAACAUAACCCUUGUUGUCUUCUAUAUUCCUUAACCACCCUUUCCUUGGACAAAUCAACUCCAGUAGACAGUGGUUUAACCUCAGAUUUGCUCACUGAACCAUACACUCGAGAUUGUCCUGAAAACCUCAGCAAUUUGUGCUUCUGCUUCUCUAGAAUAGAUUGAUGCAUCUGAGCUAACAAAGCAGCCCGAUCAACAGUAGUAGGCAAAUGAGAUUGAACCACACCCUGAAGUUCAGGUUUCAGUCCUUUAAUGAAAUGUGCUACAAACAGUGUUUCAUCCAAUGUAUGAUUAUGAACCGAGGUAGAAUAACGGAUCUCAUCAAACUCCUUCAAAUACUCCUCCACAGUUCCUCGCUGAUACAAAUCCAUCAACACUCGCAUGGCCUGCGGAUACUCAUCCACCCCAAACUUCUGCAACACAGCUUGAGCAAAUUCUGGCCACUCCCUGAGCCCAUGCUGAAGCUUAUACACCUCAAACCAGCGGGAAGCAUUGCCUUCCAUAUUCAAGGAUGCACUAGUAACCCACACAGCUUCAGGGACAUGGAAGAGAGUGAAGUAAUCAACACACUUACGUAACCAGAUUUUAGGUUCAAAGCCUUCAAAUCUGGGAAACAUCAUCUUCGGAAUCGGCAUGUUCUGGACGUCCCUGUUCUCAACCCGCCCAGCAAACCCAUCACGCUGAAAACCAGGAAAAACAUCACGAUACCUUCGAUUGUUGCCACCAGCAUCACGCCGGUCCCGAUCGCCGCGAUUCUGGUCAUUCCCACCAGCAUCCGCCGAUUCCAUGUCCCUUGCCAUCAGCUCGAGACGAAUUUCCGCCACUUCACGCCCCGUCUGCUCCAUCCGCUGCGCGAGGCGCAGACGCUCCUCUGCGGCCUUCUGGGCGACGGUAGCAGCGAGCUCCGCCUGAGCCAGCAACUGCUGUUGGACCUCAUCCAUGUCCACCACCUUGUCGGUAAGUCGAUCCAACUUGGUCAUCAAACGCUCCCACCGAUCGCCAUCCUCCUUCGCCUUAUCCGCCAUCGCUUCCAGAAUAAAGCGAGACUGCACCGAUGGCUUCGCAACCGGCGCCGUGAUGACCGCCGGGGACCCUCCACGCCGAGAUCGACCGAAUCUGAUACCACUGUGACACCCCUUGGCCGACGGCGAGUCGCCGCGACGUGAGACAACACAGGAUGAACGCGCGCAACUCUCAGGUGAGUUUGUGCGGUGGUUUUUCUCUCUAUUAUUUUCUUUCUGCUCAAGUCUUAGAGAUUACAGUAUUUAAGCCACGCUUGGCCGACCCACACCAAUCUCCAUAGCUAUGAGAAUACGGCCCAACAACGGCCCACACAACCACACACGCCCAAUGCUGCGCAACCAGCAACCUCUUGCCUUUCUCUUCUCUGAUGACGCCUUGUCAGUUAGGCACAGGCCUGACAUUGAGGCAAUGAUAUUGGUAAGUAUCUGCGCUAGGAUGCUCUCUGUCCUCCUCUCGUUGCUUAGCGCACGUUUGAUUGAAGUGAGGGCUUUAGGCGCGCGGGUUGGCGGUUCCCCAGUGUGAUCGCCGCCGUGCGGUGUGCGCGCGCCGCCGCCCUGGGCCGUCGGAAGUAGGAGACAUGCCUGGUCCGUUGGUUGCGCGAUGUGUGGCGGCGAUUAUGUCGAACAUACCGUUUCGUCCGGGUAAUUAGUGUCCGUUGGAUCAAGAGAUCGUGGAUAGGAUUAAAUUGCGCUUCUUUAAGACCACAACCGUCGAUCUGUGAUCUGACGGCCUCAGACUAGUACCGCUUCAUCCCAUCCGCGAUCUAAUCUAGGCCGUAGAAUUAGAUCUAGGCGGCCAGGAUCUCUGCGUACCCCUUCACCAUAGCUAACUUACAAAAUAGCCCCUGCACUUGUGUUAAACCAACCCGCAGUCCAUUGUACUGUGCUCUGUGUCUUAGUUAUUUAGUGCCAGGGCCCCUAUGCUUUCCUGUAUUCGUGGUGCAGUCUAGGAAUUAAAGAAAAUAGGAAAAAGAGAUUUAGAAGUUGAUUUUGAGUAUAAAAAUAAUUGUGAAACUUAUAUAAUUCAUAGAAAAUGCAUAUGAACUCCAAAUUGGUCCAUUCCAAUUUCUAUAAUUUUGUAAUAAUGUUGUUUAUCACCUAUUGUCUCUAUUUUAACAUGAAAAUGGUAUUAAAAUUUAUCUCUUAAUUAAUCUCAUAUCAAAUACACAAAACCUUAGGAAAUUCGUAUCUCCUCCGUGUUAAAUCCGAUUUGACUCGUUACAGUUGCGAUAGCUUCGUAUAAAUAUCUACUACACAAUAGCAACAUUUAUUAUAUGAUAUCCCAUACUUUUAUAAUUGGGUUAAUCUAUGUCUAUUGGAUUAACUUAUUUAAUAUUAAUAUAUAGUAUUCUAAUUUUAUGGUUAUAAUUCAACUAGAUAAUCUUUAAUCAAAUGAUGACUUGGAUUAAAUUUGAGAUAAUUAUUUAUAGAAUAUUUUCUCAUAUGAUCUAUACUAACCAAUUUAUAAUAUAGUUUAAUAUUUUAAUCACAUAGAUCUUCUAUAAAAUCAUAACUCCUUAACCGUAACUCCGAUUUUAGUGGUUCAUGUCCCCACGAUCUCGUAGCAACACGUAGAUUAUUAUUAUACAGUAUGUUCUUAUGUUUGGUGUGAUGUUAAUUUUGUCUAUACCAUGUCUGUUUAUAUUGCUACGACUAGCAGUGAGAUCACGAGGAUCUGAAGAAUCACCCUGAUAACUGGAAUCUCAAGUGCCAGGCAAGUUGUGCCCUUGAUCACAUUUGUUACCCAAUAAUGUUCUUUAUUAUCUCUUAUUCAAUGCAUAGGUUUAAUUUUGAUGGGACCCAAUAGGUCACCCUAAUUUGUUUAUCCUGUUUACCUUGUUUAUCCCUGAAUCAAUUGGGUAGUUAUGCUAUUGCUUUAUAUGGUUUUGGGAUAAUAUUUCAUUACAUCCAUGUUCCAAUUAUUUUGUUAUGUUAUUUAUGUUCAUGAUAAGAUCAUUAUGUUAAUCGGAACAUGGAGCGACCACCCGGGAAAACAGUGCUACCACAAGGGUUUAGUGGGACGCUCUUGGCUGAUUAACUAGGAAAGCUAGUGGAUGACUACCUUACCCGAAAGGGGCAAGGGCAGUAGGGGAGUGGUCAGUGUAGGGAGGUCCUUGGGUUGAUUUUGCUGCGAUGGCGGUCAGGCGAGGGAUUCCUGCACUGGAGCUUCCUAUAAACUGUAGCGGGUUUUCUGAAGCUAGUGGAACUUUGUAAAGGCCUCGUAGUGUUACCCUGCCUCGCUUCCUUGGUAGAGGUGUAUGGGAUUCAUGACCCCUUGGCAGAUGGGUAACACGGCUUGUGGGUAAAGAUGCGCAACCUCUGCAGAGUGUAAAACUAGUAUACUAGCCGUGCUCACGGUCAUAAGCGGCUCGGACCCUCACAUGAUUAAUUUAUGGAACCUAAUUCAAUUUGUCAUUUGCAUUGCAUGAGAUUUGUUCUUAAUUUUGUUCUAUUAUUUAUUAUGGUUUGGUAUUUACUUACACCUAGUAAUUGCUAAUAAAAUUUUGACUAACUUUAAAAGCAAUGUUCAACUUUAACCAUUCUCUUUGGUAAGCCUUACACUUCAUAUGAUCUCCCACCUUUGGUGAGUUCAUGCCACAUUAUUCCCCACAACUUGUUGAGCGAUGAACAUGUGUGAGCUCACCCUUGCUGUCUCACACCCCCCCACAGGAGAAGAACAGGUGGUUCAAGAGGAGCCGCAUAUCGAGGAGUUCGAUUCGAUCUAGGUGGUGUCUCCCAGUCGACUUUCUGGCGCCAAUGAUAGAUUUUAGAUCCUGUUAUAUUUAUCUUGUAUUUCGUAAGACUUCCGCUAUGUAAUAAGUACUCUGAUUAUUGUGAUAUUUAUC
This 7987-nucleotide long non-coding RNA is filed under the name Zea mays. Its description in RNAcentral is "long non-coding RNA (ZMAY_LNC000669)". The record is from RNAcentral. Lineage: Eukaryota; Viridiplantae; Streptophyta; Magnoliopsida; Poales; Poaceae.